GACGAACGCUGGCGGCGUGCUUAACACAUGCAAGUCGUACGGUAAGGCCCUUUCGGGGGUACGCGAGUGGCGCACGGGUGAGUAACACGUGUAUAACCUUCCCACAACUUUGGGAUAACGCUAGGAAACUGGUGCCAAUACUGGCUAUGUGCUCCUGCUGCAUGGUGGGGGUUGGAAAGCUCCGGCGGUUGUGGAUGGGCUCGCGGCCUAUCAGCUUGUUGGUGGGGUAGUGGCCUACCAAGGCGGCGACGGGUAGCCGGCCUGAGAGGGUGACCGGCCACACUGGGUCUGAGGGGCGGCCGAGGCGCCGACGGGUGGCAGCUGUGGGGAAGCUUGCACAAGGGGCGCCAGCUGGAUGCAGCAGCGCCGCGUGUGGGAUGACGCCUUUCGGGGUGAAAACCGCUUUCAGCAGGGACGAAGCUUGUUGUGACGUUACCUGCAGAAGAAGCACCGGCUAACUACGUG
This 465-nucleotide ribosomal RNA is filed under the name uncultured bacterium. RNAcentral describes it as "partial 16S ribosomal RNA". It matches the Rfam family "Bacterial small subunit ribosomal RNA", at positions 28 to 507 of the family's 1533-position model. The record is from RNAcentral.